ACUACGGGAGGCUGCAGUGAGGAAUAUUGGUCAAUGGGCGUAAGCCUGAACCAGCCAAGUCGCGUGAGGGAUGAAGGUUCUAUGGAUCGUAAACCUCUUUUAUAAGGGAAUAAAGUGUGGGACGUGUCCUAUUUUGUAUGUACCUUAUGAAUAAGGAUCGGCUAACUCCGUGCCAGCAGCCGCGGUAAAACGGAGGAUCCGAGCGUUAUCCGGAUUUAUUGGGGUUAAAGGGUGCGUAGGCGGCCUUUUAAGUUAGCGGUUAAAGUCUGUUGCUCAACCAUAGAAUUGCCGUUGAAACUGGGGGGCUUGAGUUUGUUUGAGGCAGGCGGAAUGCGUGGUGUAGCGGUGAAAUGCUUAGAUAUCACGCAGAACCCCGAUUGCGAAGGCAGCCUGCCAAGCCAUGACUGACGCUGAUGCACGAAAGCGUGGGGAUCAAACAGGAUUAGAUACCCUUGUAGUC
RNAcentral lists this ribosomal RNA (460 nucleotides) under uncultured bacterium. RNAcentral's name for it is "partial 16S ribosomal RNA". It matches the Rfam family "Bacterial small subunit ribosomal RNA", at positions 338 to 795 of the family's 1533-position model. The record is from RNAcentral.